GGGUUGCUGAGGGGAGGGGACCUGGCCCCAGGCUGCCCAUCUGCAGGGGGCUGUGCCUGGGGAGAUGAGCAGGAUCCUGCCCUAGGUUUCCCUUGGCCUGGAGGGAGCAGGUGCCCACAGGGAGAAGAAAAUGGGAUUCUUUACCCCUGAAGGGCAGAGUGUUCUCUCCAGAAAGCCAGAGGCAUUUCCCAGGUAAGACAGUUGAGUCGUGUGUUUCUAGACAUCCCAAAAAUACAGGCAAGAGAAGUGGGGUUAUUCCCACCUCGGCAUCCAGACCCGGCAGCGGUUGGGAGCGGUGCCUGGCGUCGUGUGGACAAACUCGUGGGUUCCUGGGAGGAACUGAGCCCAGAGAGCUGCCUUCCCGGGAAGGACACUGACUCCCUGCUCUUCCCUAUCUGUCCUGCCAGUGCCUCUCUUGGAUACAGGGCAGCAAGAGAGGAGUUCCUGGCCAGCCCUGCUGCUACGGUGGUUUCGUGCCAUACAAAGGAAAUCCAAAGUCUUUGGACCAGGAAAAGAAAAUAGCAGCAAAUACAAUAAAUACUUGUAGCUGUGAUGAGAGCCGGGACGGGUGCCGUGGUCUCUGGUUCUGCUCCCAGGACAGUCUGUGCCCAGUCUCUAAGGACUGCAAGCCUGCAGGUUCCCCACAAAGCUGCUGUGUUUGGUCCUGCUGAACCCCUGCCUGAAGGCAUCUGCUGUGUGUUGGUGACACUACAGGUGACUGACUGCAAAGGUGACACUGAAGGGGCUUUGCCAUGCAAGAGCAAGGGCUGACUGAGGGCGUGUGGCCUGCCCACUGCCUGUGCUGCUGGCCAGCUGGAGAGGCAAAUUGCAGCCAAAUUGCUCAAGGACGUGUCACGCUGUUAUCGGUGUUGCUAGUGCAGUUACACUGGCCUUAUUGUGACUGGAUGUACCAUUAAACAAGUUUGAUUUUGUU
Molecule: long non-coding RNA, 934 nt
Organism: Calypte anna (Anna's hummingbird)
Lineage: Eukaryota; Metazoa; Chordata; Aves; Apodiformes; Trochilidae
Exons: 3
Source: RefSeq, a predicted model, not a curated record